RNAcentral lists this ribosomal RNA (497 nucleotides) under uncultured bacterium. RNAcentral's name for it is "partial 16S ribosomal RNA". It matches the Rfam family "Bacterial small subunit ribosomal RNA", at positions 28 to 507 of the family's 1533-position model. The record is from RNAcentral.
GAUGAACGCUGGCGGCGUGCCUAAUACAUGCAAGUCGAGCGAACAGACGAGGAGCUUGCUCCUUUGACGUUAGCGGCGGACGGGUGAGUAACACGUGGAUAACCUACCUAUAAGACUGGGAUAACUUCGGGAAACCGGAGCUAAUACCGGAUAACAUGUUGAACCGCAUGGUUCAACAGUGAAAGACGGUCUUGCUGUCACUUAUAGAUGGAUCCGCGCCGCAUUAGCUAGUUGGUAAGGUAACGGCUUACCAAGGCAACGAUGCGUAGCCGACCUGAGGGGGUGAUCGGCCACACUGGAACUGAGACACGGUCCAGACUCCUACGGGAGGCAGCAGUAGGGAAUCUUCCGCAAUGGGCGAAAGCCUGACGGAGCAACGCCGCGUGAGUGAAGAAGGUCUUCGGAUCGUAAAACUCUGUUAUUAGGGAAGAACAAAUGUGUAAGUAACUAUGCACGUCUUGACGGUACCUAAUCAGAAAGCCACGGCUAACUACGUG